UACAUUUUAGUGUAAGGUGCACGAAAAUUUUUGAUAUUUUAAGUUAUAGUUUAAUUCUAUUGAAUGUAA
This 69-nucleotide transfer RNA is filed under the name Blattodea sp. MT-2014. Its description in RNAcentral is "tRNA-Gln". Lineage: Eukaryota; Metazoa; Arthropoda; Insecta; Blattodea. The record is from RNAcentral.